ACAGUUUAUGUGGAGAGAACUUUAAACUAGAAUCAUUAACAACUUCAAUCUUUCAUUUUGUCCUGCAGGAGAGAGUCUCCUGAUGGGAACAAUGUGGUGUGUAUUCUCACGCUGCCGCCUUACCAACGCCGAGGCUACGGGAAGUUCCUCAUAGCUUUUAGUUACGAGCUGUGUAAGCUGGAGAGUGCAGUGGGUUCUCCGGAGAAGCCUCUGUCUGAUCUGGGGAAGCUGAGCUACAGAAGUUACUGGUCCUGGGUCCUGCUGGAGAUCCUGAGGGACUUCAGAGGAACGCUGUCCAUCAAAGACCUCAGUCAGAUGACCAGCAUCACGCAGAGUGACAUCAUCAGCACGCUGCAGUUGCUCAACAUGGUGAAGUACUGGAAAGGUCAGCACGUUAUCUGUGUGACGCCCAAACUGGUGGAGGAGCAUCUGAAGAGCGCCCAGUACAAGAAACCGCCGAUCACAGUGGACACUAUGUGUUUGAAGUGGGCGCCUCCUAAAAACAAACAGGCCAAGUUGUCCAAGAAGUGAGAGAGGAGGGGGCGGAGCCAGUGACGCCGCGUCCGUCCGUCACCGCCAGUCGACCCGUGCAUAUCGUUCUCCUUCAUCUGCUGUUGUUAAAAACUCUCUGUAUAUAGCUGUUAGCAGCAUCUGUCAGUAUUUUCUUAAAAUAUAUUUUAAAACAUC
Molecule: long non-coding RNA, 687 nt
Organism: Morone saxatilis (striped sea-bass)
Lineage: Eukaryota; Metazoa; Chordata; Actinopteri; Moronidae
Exons: 4
Source: RefSeq, a predicted model, not a curated record